CAGGUAGUUGGUGAGGUAACGGCUCACCAAGCCGCUGACCGAUAGCUGAUCUGAGAGGAUGACCAGCCACACUGGGACUGUGACACGGCCCAGACUCCUACGGGAGGCAGCAGCGAGGAAUAUUGCACAAUGGAGGCAACUCCGAUGCAGUAACGCCGCGUGGGGGAAGAAGACCUUCGGGUUGUAAACCUCUUUUUUUUAGGACGAGUGAGGACGGUACUAGGAGAAUAAGUCUCGGCUAACUACGUGCCAGCAGCCGCGGUAAGACGUAGGAGGCGAGCGUUAUCCGGAUUCACUGGGCGUAAAGCGCAUGUAGGCGGCUCGUUAAGUCGUGUGUUAAAGCCCCUGGCUCAACUGGGGGAGGUCAUGCGAGACUAACGGACUUGAGGGCAGCAGAGGCACGUGGAACUCCCGGUGUAGCGGUGGAAUGCGUAGAGAUCGGGAAGAACACCCGUGGCGAAGGCGACGUGCUGGGCUGCGACUGACGCUGAGAUGCGAAAGUGUGGGGAGCAAACGGGGUUAGAUACCCCGGUAGUCCACACUGUAAACGAUGAACCCUAGGUGUGGGGGGGAAUACCCUCCGUGCCGAAGCCCACGCGUUAAGG
RNAcentral lists this ribosomal RNA (605 nucleotides) under uncultured bacterium. Its description in RNAcentral is "SSU rRNA". It matches the Rfam family "Bacterial small subunit ribosomal RNA", at positions 242 to 865 of the family's 1533-position model. The record is from RNAcentral.